Molecule: long non-coding RNA, 575 nt
Filed under: Theobroma cacao (cacao)
Lineage: Eukaryota; Viridiplantae; Streptophyta; Magnoliopsida; Malvales; Malvaceae
Description: long non-coding RNA (TCAC_LNC001098)
Source: RNAcentral
CCCAAUCAUAAAUUCAUAAUGGCAUCAUCCACAAAUAUUUUCAUAAAUAGAUUAACAAAUUAUUCUUAAUGUUUUACAUUAAAUAUUCAUAUACACAUAAUUAGACCUUGACCGUCAGCGGAGUGACUCUGGUCACGAUUGAUAACACUUAGUGUCACGUUAAACCUACCGAGCAAUGUAUAGGGAGGAGCACCUCGUCCUAAGAUCCAACCACCUUUAACUCAGGAAACCUAAAACAUGAAUUUUAAAAAUAACGUGAGUACCAACUCAAUGAGUGAACAUAAGAGAGGAACAAGCAACAUUAAGGAAGGUUUUAGAAAACAUGAUGUACUUUUUUCAAAAAUAAUGCAAUUGAAUUAAUUUUUUACUAAAAACCCUCAUUCAAACCCUUGGUCAUUUAGUCAUUUGAUGACAAAAAACUUAUGAACAACAAAGAAGUUGAGAAGUGAAAACUUUAGUAGAAGUCAAACAAGUCAAGCAUAAUAGAUUGACUCUCACCGCAGCGAGAAGGCAUUCUCGCUGCAAUGAAAUUCUGGCCAGAUAAAAUCCAAGAGGCUUUCACUGCCAUCAGGAAA